AUCCUACGGGAGGCAGCAGUGAGGAAUAUUGGUCAAUGGGCGGAAGCCUGAACCAGCCAAGUCGCGUGAGGGAAUAAGGCCCUACGGGUCGUAAACCUCUUUUGCCGGGGAGCAAGGGCGGGGACGUGUCCCGGCCCGGAGAGUACCCGGAGAAAAAGCAUCGGCUAACUCCGGGCCAGCAGCCGCGGUAAUACGGAGGAGGCGAGCGUUAUCCGGAUUUAUUGGGUUUAAAGGGUGCGUAGGCGGGCUUUUAAGGCAGCGGUGAAAAUUCGGGGCUGAAACCCGUCCGGCCGUUGAAAAGGGGG
Molecule: ribosomal RNA, 305 nt
Filed under: uncultured bacterium
Lineage: Bacteria
Description: bacterial SSU rRNA
Rfam family: Bacterial small subunit ribosomal RNA
Source: RNAcentral